CACAGAGAACGCUGGCCUGAAAAGAAGUGUGCUGCUCACAGCACUAUUUUCCAUCCAUCUGGUUGCUGCAGGUGCAUAAGGCUGGUGAAAAUUUUGCAGGCAGAGCUAGCUGGUGUUCCAUCAUGGCUGGCUGUCAAACAGGAGGGAGAGGACUUCAGUGUGCUCGAGUCCUGGUGCACCUGCUGCUAGACCUGUCUGAAAGCCCUGGCAUCGCCUGCCCAGGAGUGUAAAGAAUGACUGAAGCGUUAAAUAAGGACGUGGCAGCUGAAGCUCAGUCAUAAGAGAGUGAUGACUAAAUGACAACGAGCAGAUGAUGUGUCUCCUAAUGAUCCUAUGGGAAGUCAGCAAACUGGACUAAACAGGAGACUUCCUGUGGACACACGGAUGUCCCACCCGGGUAAAAUCCUCUUUGUGCACGUGGGUGCCUACUCCACUGGCACUGUCUUCCCAGAGGAGCUCGUGGAGACCUAAAUCAGGCCUCUAAAGGUUAACCUGCGGGAAGGCGGAGGAUGCCGGGAGGGAAUGAUCACCCAGCUGGUCUGAGGCUGGUGACGUGGGCUGGUAACCUGAGAGCCUGUUGCACAGCUUCUGUGCCUGGAGUUGCUGUGGGAUCAGAAGGAGCUGGCUGGCUCUGUCCUGGUUUAUGCAAUGCCCAGUCCCCUCGGCCGCACUGCCCUCCUGAGCGGGAGCCUUUUGGCUGGGUCUGAAUUCGAUGUGCAGCGCCUGCUCCCACUAACUCACUGACUGCACGGUGCUAUUCUGCACUGCCCUGCCUGGAUUAUUCGGGAAUAUCUGGGAACAUGUGUUCCUGAACUGUCUGUUAUCAGCAAGUCCAAGAGCUGGGAAGCCCUAGGAAGCUUUCACUGUACUCCAUUUAUUUUUCCAUCCCCUCCCACACACCCUACCACUACACCAGGCAACAACACAGGAUACAGUAAAAUGGUUCCUAGAAACAUGUCAUCACUGUCAGUAAGGCUUUUUAAAUUCGUGUUUUAAAAUAUCCCAAACUACAACUUGGUUUCAAACAGUACCUUCACAGAGGUGCUUAUCCCACAGGAUGACUUGGAGAACCCAUCUGAUUUCAAAUAAAUUCAUGGUUUUCAGAAGGAACAAUUUCCUUUGUUAUCCCAUCUGGGCAGGCAUGUUGUUGUUA
This is a long non-coding RNA of Pipra filicauda (Wire-tailed manakin), 1153 nucleotides long. RefSeq lists it as uncharacterized. The record is from RefSeq and is a predicted model, not a curated record. Lineage: Eukaryota; Metazoa; Chordata; Aves; Passeriformes; Pipridae. The transcript has 5 exons.